Molecule: ribosomal RNA, 162 nt
Filed under: Phialophora sp.
Lineage: Eukaryota; Fungi; Ascomycota; Eurotiomycetes; Chaetothyriales; Herpotrichiellaceae
Description: partial large subunit ribosomal RNA
Rfam family: Eukaryotic large subunit ribosomal RNA
Source: RNAcentral
CGGCAACAGCUCAAAUUUGAAAUCUGACCUUCGGGUCCGAGUUGUAAUUUGUAGAGGAUGUUUCGGGUAAGAUCUAGGCCGAAGUUCCUUGGAACAGGACGUCAUGGAGGGUGAGAAUCCCGUACGUGGCCGGUGGUCGCACCCAUGUGAAACUCCUUCGAC